CAUUAAAUACAGAGCCGGACAAUUAAUCGAAAAUGUAUCACCAUCCAAAUUCUGAAGCAGUUAUCGACAUAUUUUUCCAAAUGACGAUAAUUUCAAUAAUUUCUUCCUGUUGA
This is a long non-coding RNA of Etheostoma cragini (Arkansas darter), 113 nucleotides long. RefSeq lists it as uncharacterized. The record is from RefSeq and is a predicted model, not a curated record. The transcript is spliced from 3 exons. Lineage: Eukaryota; Metazoa; Chordata; Actinopteri; Perciformes; Percidae.